This is a long non-coding RNA of Oncorhynchus keta (chum salmon), 3717 nucleotides long. RefSeq lists it as uncharacterized. The transcript is spliced from 3 exons. NCBI's taxonomy places the organism in Eukaryota, Metazoa, Chordata, Actinopteri, Salmoniformes, Salmonidae. The record is from RefSeq and is a predicted model, not a curated record.
AAAUCAUUGACUAGUUCAUUGUAGGCUGUUGUAGGCUGUUAUAUGAAUAUGGUUAAUCUCCUCAUCAGUCUGAGGUCUUUGGGACAUCUGGUCUUAACAGGUAUGAGGUGUGUCAUAUACAGUUGUAGUCUGAAGGUUACUAAUCACCUUAGCCAAAUACAUUUCAAAUCAAUUUCUCACAAUUCCUGACACUGAAAAGACAAAUUCCCUGUCUAAGGCCAGUUAGGAUCACCACUUUAUUUUAAGAGUGUGAAAUGUCUGAAUAAUAGUAGAGAGAAUUCUUUAUUUUUUUCAUCACAUUCCCAGUGGGUCAGAAGUUUACAUACACCAAGUUAGUAUCUGGUAGCAUUGCCUUUAAAUUGUUUAACUUGGGUCAAAUGUUUCAGGUAGCCUUCGACAAGCUUCCCACAAUAAGUUGGGUGAAUUUUGGCCCAUUCCUCCAAACAGAGCUGGUGUAACUGAGUCAGGCUUGUAAGCCUCCUUGCUCGCACACACUUUUUCAGUUCUGCCCACAAAUUUUCUAUAGGAUUGAGGUCAGGGCUUUGUGAUGGCCACACCAAUACCUCGACUUUGUUGUCCUUAAGCCAUUUUGCCACAACUUUGGAAGUAUGCUUGGGGUCAUUGUCCAUUUGGAAGACCCAUUUGCGACCAAGCUUUAACUUCCUGACUGAUGUCUUGAGAUGUUGUUCCAGUAUAUCCACCUAAUUUUCCUUUCUCAUGAUGCCAUCUAUUUUGAGAAGUGCACCAGUCCCUCCUGCAGCAAAGCAGCCCCACAACAUGCUGCUGCCACCCCCGUGCUUCAUGGUUGAGAUAGUGACCGUCGGCUUGCAAGCCUCCCCAUUUUUCCUCCAAACAUAACGAUGGUCAUUAUGGUUAAACAGUUCUAUUUUUGUUUCAUCAGACCAGAAGACAUUUCUCCAAAAAGUAUCAUCUUUGUCCCCAUGUCCCCAGUUGCAAACCAUAGUCUGGUUUUUUUAAUGGCUGAUUUUGAACAGUGGCUUCUUCCUUGCGGAGCGACCUUUCAUGUUAUGCCGAUAUAGAACUCGUUUUACUGUGGAUAUAGAUACUUUUGUACCAGUUUCCUCCAUAAUCUUCACAAGGUCCUUUGCUGUUCUUCUGGGAUUGAUUUGCACUUUUCACACCAAAGUACGUUCAUCUCUAGGAGACAGAACAAGUCUCCUUCCUGAGCGGUAUGACGGCUGCGUGGUCCCACGGUGUUUAUACUUGCGUACUAUUGUUUGUACAGAUGAACGUGGUAACUUCAGGAGUUUGGAAAUUGCUCCCAAGGAUGAACCAGACUUGUGGAGGUCUACAAUUCUCUUUCUGAGGUCUUGGCUGAUUUCUUUAGAUUUUCCCAUGAUGUCAAGCAAAGAGGCACUGAGUUUGAAAGUAGGCCUUGAAAUACAUCCACAGGUACACCUCCAAUUGACUCACAUUAUGUCAAUUAGUCUAUCAGAAGCUUCUAAGGCCAUGCCAUAAUUAUCUGGAAUUUUCCAAGCUUUUUAAAGGCACAGUCAACUUAGCGUAUGUAAACUGCUGACCACUGGAAUUGUGAAACAGUGAAUUAAAUCAGUCUAAACAUUUGUUGGAAAAAAUCCUUGUGUCAUGCACAAUGUGGAUGCCCUAACCAACUAACCAACCAACUAACCAACCAACUAACCAACCAACUAACCAACUUGUCAAAACUAUAGUUUGGUGGUUGAAAAACGAGUUUUAAAGACUCCAACCUAAGUAUGUAAACUUCCGACUUCAACUGUACAUCUAACAGUACCAGGUUGUUAGAUGGGAGAGUGCAGUAUAUCUAGCUAGUUCAGUACCAGGUUGUUAGAGGGGAGUGUGAAGUAUAUCUAGCUAGUUCAGUACCAGGUUGUUAGAGGGGAGUGUGCAGUAUAUACAUCUAACAGUAGCAGGUUGUUAGAUGGGAGUGUGCAGUAUAUCUAGCUAGUUCAGUACCAGGUUGUUAGAUGGGAGUGUGCAGUAUAUCUAGCUAGUUCAGUACCAGGUUGUUAGAGGGGAGUGUGCAGUAUAUCUAGCUAGUUCAGUACCAGGUUGUUAGAGGGGAGUGUGCAGUAUAUACAUCUAACAGUAGCAGGUUGUUAGAUAGGAGUGUGCAGUAUAUCUAGCUAGUUCAGUACCAGGUUGUUAGAGGGGAGUGUGCAGUAUAUCUAGCUAGUUCAGUACCAGGUUGUUAGAGGGGAGUGUGCAGUAUAUACAUCUAACAGUAGCAGGUUGUUAGAUGGGAGUGUGCAGUAUAUCUAGCUAGUUCAGUACCAGGUUGUUAGAGGGGAGUGUGAAGUAUAUCUAGCUAGUUCAGUACCAGGUUGUUAGAUGGGAGUGUGCAGUAUAUCUAGCUAGUUCAGUACCAGGUUGUUAGAGGGGAGUGUGAAGUAUAUCUAGCUAGUUCAGUACCAGGUUGUUAGAGGGGAGUGUGCAGUAUAUACAUCUAACAGUAGCAGGUUGUUAGAUGGGAGUGUGAAGUAUAUCUAGCUAGUUCAGUACCAGGUUGUUAGAGGGGAGUGUGCAGUAUAUCUAGCUAGUUCAGUACCAGGUUGUUAGAGGGGAGUGUGAAGUAUAUCUAGCUAGUUCAGUACCAGGUUGUUAGAGGGGAGUGCGCAGUAUAUACAUCUAACAGUAGCAGGUUGUUAGAUGGGAGUGUGCAGUAUAUCUAGCUAGUUCAGUACCAGGUUGUUAGAGGGGAGUGUGCAGUAUAUCUAGCUAGUUCAGUACCAGGUUGUUAGAGGGGAGUGUGCAGUAUAUACAUCUAACAGUAGCAGGUUGUUAGAUGGGAGUGUGCAGUAUAUCUAGCUAGUUCAGUACCAGGUUGUUAGAGGGGAGUGUGCAGUAUAUCUAGCUAGUUCAGUACCAGGUUGUUAGAUGGGAGUGUGCAGUAUAUACAUCUAACAGUAGCAGGUUGUUAGAUAGGAGUGUGCAGUAUAUCUAGCUAGUUCAGUACCAGGUUGUUAGAGGGGAGUGUGCAGUAUAUCUAGCUAGUUCAGUACCAGGUUGUUAGAGGGGAGUGUGCAGUAUAUACAUCUAACAGUAGCAGGUUGUUAGAUGGGAGUGUGCAGUAUAUCUAGCUAGUUCAGUACCAGGUUGUUAGAGGGGAGUGUGAAGUAUAUCUAGCUAGUUCAGUACCAGGUUGUUAGAGGGGAGUGUGCAGUAUAUACAUCUAACAGUAGCAGGUUGUUAGAUGGGAGUGUGAAGUAUAUCUAGCUAGUUCAGUACCAGGUUGUUAGAGGGGAGUGUGAAGUAUAUCUAGCUAGUUCAGUACCAGGUUGUUAGAUGGGAGUGUGCAGUAUAUCUAGCUAGUUCAGUACCAGGUUGUUAGAGGGGAGUGUGCAGUAUAUCUAGCUAGUUCAGUACCAGGUUGUUAGAUGGGAGUGUGCAGUAUAUCUAGCUAGUUCAGUACCAGGUUGUUAGAUGGGAGUGUGCAGUAUAUCUAGCUAGUUCAGUACCAGGUUGUUAGAGGGGAGUGUGAAGUAUAUCUAGCCAGUUCAGUACCAGGUUGUUAGAUGGGAGUGUGCAGUAUAUCUAGCUAGUUCAGUACCAGGUUGUUAGAGGGGAGUGUGCAGUAUAUCUAGCUAGUUCAGUACCAGGUUGUUAGAUGGGAGUGUGCAGUAUAUCUAGCUAGUUCAGUACCAGGUUGUUAGAUGGGAGUGUGCAGUAUAUCUAGCUAGUUCAGUACCAGGUUGUUAGAGGGGAGUGUGCAGUAUAUCU